UACGAAGGGGGUUAGCGUUGCUCGGAAUCACUGGGCGUAAAGCGCACGUAGGCGGCUUGUUAAGUCAGGGGUGAAAUCCUGGAGCUCAACUCCAGAACUGCCUUUGAUACUGGCAAGCUUGGAGUCCGGGAGAGGUGAGUGGAACUGCGAGUGUAGAGGUGAAAUUCGUAGAUAUUCGCAAGAACACCAGUGGCGAAAGCGACUUUCUGGGACAUUUCUGACGCUGAGGAACGAAAGCUCGGGGAGCAAACAGG
This 254-nucleotide ribosomal RNA is filed under the name uncultured bacterium. Its description in RNAcentral is "partial 16S ribosomal RNA". It matches the Rfam family "Bacterial small subunit ribosomal RNA", at positions 524 to 776 of the family's 1533-position model. The record is from RNAcentral.